RNAcentral lists this unclassified non-coding RNA (213 nucleotides) under Hevea brasiliensis (rubber tree). The record is from RNAcentral. Lineage: Eukaryota; Viridiplantae; Streptophyta; Magnoliopsida; Malpighiales; Euphorbiaceae.
GCCUCCGAUGCACCAAUUCGGCAUGUCGGGGAGUUACUAGAUUUUUAUAGUGUUUGUGAUAUCAAUUUUUAUUGUUAGUCUGGUGGUCCAAGGCAGCGGCAGCAGCAACAGCAACAGAGAUUUGUUGAUAGGCAGGACCUAGUUUCCCAUUUUUGUUAAUUUUGGUAGCAAGCAGGCAAUUUUUUGCUGCUGUCCGAUCUUGAGUUGAGGGAG